Ooceraea biroi (clonal raider ant) is the source of this 464-nucleotide long non-coding RNA. RefSeq lists it as uncharacterized. Lineage: Eukaryota; Metazoa; Arthropoda; Insecta; Hymenoptera; Formicidae. The record is from RefSeq and is a predicted model, not a curated record.
AUCGUGUGUGAUACAGCACAUUGAAAGCUGAGUAUGAUAGCUUAAGCAACUGUAACAAAUUAAACAUAAAUUAUUUAAAAUGUUUGCAGUGAAACUGAUAUCAUUUUGUCAUUAUUGAUUGAUACUAACAUUUAAAUACGAGUCACGAUUCAUCGUAAUUAUGGAGAUGCUUUUGAAUUCAAUGGGAAUUUUAGCGCGAUUCAUAAUUAAUAGAAGAGCUUUCUUGGUGCUAACGAAUUUAUAAAUGAAAAAACGUUUUAGAGCAGAAAGUUUGCGAUCAAUCCUUUUCUUCAAUGCUACUUAGGAUAAGAAUAUGAAACCAAGAAUACAAAAACGGAGCCAUACUUCUCUUGCGCAAUCCAAUUUCUUGGAGUUACAAAUUAAUUUCAAGCUGGCAACAGAUAUAUAACAAGAAUCCACAAAGCAAACUGUCGCAAGCGAUGUUAACUAUACCAGAGGUGACC